Molecule: ribosomal RNA, 301 nt
Filed under: uncultured bacterium
Lineage: Bacteria
Description: partial 16S ribosomal RNA
Rfam family: Bacterial small subunit ribosomal RNA
Source: RNAcentral
CAGCCGCCGCGGGAAUACGUAGGGCGCAAGCGUUGUCCGGAAUUAUUGGGCGUAAAGAGCUCGUAGGCGGUCUGUCGCGUCUGGUGUGAAAUCCCGAGGCUCAACCUCGGGCUUGCAUCGGGUACGGGCAGACUAGAGUGCGGUAGGGGAGACUGGAAUUCCUGGUGUAGCGGUGGAAUGCGCAGAUAUCAGGAGGAACACCGAUGGCGAAGGCAGGUCUCUGGGCCGCAACUGACGCUGAGGAGCGAAAGCAUGGGGAGCGAACAGGAUUAGAUACCCGUGUAGUCCCUGUCUCUUAUAU